Molecule: non-coding RNA, 1132 nt
Organism: Paramuricea clavata
Lineage: Eukaryota; Metazoa; Cnidaria; Anthozoa; Malacalcyonacea; Plexauridae
Source: the annotation of a GenBank genome assembly
GUUGGUGAAAAAAUGUCGUAUGUAAUAGUAGGAGGGUCUGUAGUUUUCCACCCCUAGGACUGCAUUUCGUGCAUUUUCUGAAACAGAUUUUUGGAUAUACAGCGUUGCAUUAUACUGUAAAUAGACUGAUUCUUCAGUUCAUGGUAUGUUUAUUUAAAUACCAAAACUCGGUCACUCGCUAAUUUGUUUAACCUAGCCUUCUAACAAGUCAAAUCUAUAGGGUCUGGGAUAUGCGGAUACACUGGAAAAUGUUUAAAAUCUAAGGUAUUUACAACACAAUGUUUAGCAUUUUUAAAAAGAUAUUGAAUCAUUUGAUGAUAAAGGACAUGACAUAAGAUUCACAAAGUAAAUUUCAGUUACUAGAAUAUCAAACCUCGCCUCUAGUAUCAAAAUUCAAUCCUCCCUCCAAUGUUUUGCUUAUAUUUUAGAGAAAAUGGAUUUUGACUGAAGAGGCGGCAAAUAUUGACUCGUGGAGGGGGAGGGGGCACAAGGGGGAUUGGGGGCAAAGCCCCCCUCCCCCCUUGCCUUCUAUGCUGAAAAAGGCCCUGGCUCGUUUUUCCACUGCCUGAUCAUUUCUCGUUCUCCGGAACUCCCCCACGUGGUUCUAUACAACUGUAUAGAAGCACGGAAAAUGUUUUCUUAAUUGUAUUCAAGAAAUUUUUGGACUCCAGACUCGAAAUGAAACGCAAUUAAACCCAAACGACAGAGGAGGUUGGACAGCAGGCCGCAAAGCAUCAUGGGUAUUGAGCGCCUAAUUCCACGCGUGGCUUUCAUUGACUGUUGACUGUCGAGGAGUGAACAUCUCUCUGACUACAAAACCAAUAUGGAAGCUUUCGAACGACAAGAAUGUCAGGCUGCGAUAUUUUGUGAAAACAGCAUGUUAUUGCUGUAUUGUUGCGAUCAUCAUUAUGACUUGUGUUUUACUAUAUCAAGUUUACCUUUUUUUAAAUUGCAUGGGACGUGUUGUCAUUUUAGCUUUACAAAUAAUCCGUCUGAGAAAAGGAAUUGUGUUUAAUUUAUAUUCCCAAUAGCGAGGCUCUUCUUUCUAAGUUGGAUGGCGUUAAAUCUCCGUGUAUCAUCAACGUGAAAACAAGCGCAGUAUUUAAGGUUGGUAUACUACAAUGCAUUACAG